Molecule: microRNA precursor, 64 nt
Filed under: Mus pahari (shrew mouse)
Lineage: Eukaryota; Metazoa; Chordata; Mammalia; Rodentia; Muridae
Description: microRNA 7008 (MGP_PahariEiJ_G0007402.1)
Source: RNAcentral
UGCUCUGUGGGAAAUGCCAGGAGCCGUACACCUAACUGACAUGUGGCUCUUUCCUCUGUCGCAG